GACGAACGCUGGCGGCGUGCCUAAUACAUGCAAGUCGAGCGAACUGAUUAGAAGCUUGCUUCUAUGACGUUAGCGGCGGACGGGUGAGUAACACGUGGGCAACCUGCCUGUAAGACUGGGAUAACUUCGGGAAACCGAAGCUAAUACCGGAUAGGAUCUUCUCCUUCAUGGGAGAUGAUUGAAAGAUGGUUUCGGCUACCACUUACAGAUGGGCCCGCGGUGCAUUAGCUAGUUGGUGAGGUAACGGCUCACCAAGGCAACGAUGCAUAGCCGACCUGAGAGGGUGAUCGGCCACACUGGGACUGGGACACGGCCCAGACUCCUACGGGAGGCAGCAGUAGGGAAUCUUCCGCAAUGGACGAAAGUCUGACGGAGCAACGCCGCGUGAGUGAUGAAGGCUUUCGGGUCGUAAAACUCUGUUGUUAGGGAAGAACAAGUACGAGAGUAACUGCUCGUACCUUGACGGUACCUAACCAGAAAGCCACGGCUAACUACGUGCCAGCCGCCGCCGUAA
Molecule: ribosomal RNA, 514 nt
Filed under: uncultured bacterium
Lineage: Bacteria
Description: partial 16S ribosomal RNA
Rfam family: Bacterial small subunit ribosomal RNA
Source: RNAcentral